Molecule: ribosomal RNA, 1407 nt
Filed under: uncultured bacterium
Lineage: Bacteria
Description: bacterial SSU rRNA
Rfam family: Bacterial small subunit ribosomal RNA
Source: RNAcentral
GAUGAACGCUGGCGGCGUGCUUAACACAUGCAAGUCGAACGAACCUUCGGGUUAGUGGCGGACGGGUGAGUAACGCGUGAGAAUCUGCCCUCAGGAGGGGGAUAACGGCUGGAAACGGCCGCUAAUACCCCAUAUGCCGAGAGGUGAAGCGAAUUUCGCCCGAGGAUGAGCUCGCGUCUGAUUAGCUAGUUGGUGAGGUAAUGGCUCACCAAGGCAUCGAUCAGUAGCUGGUCUGAGAGGAUGAUCAGCCACACUGGGACUGAGACACGGCCCAGACUCCUACGGGAGGCAGCAGUGGGGAAUUUUCCGCAAUGGGCGCAAGCCUGACGGAGCAACGCCGCGUGAGGGAUGAAGGCCUCUGGGCUGUAAACCUCUUUUAUCAAGGAAGAAGAUCUGACGGUACUUGAUGAAUAAGCCACGGCUAAUUCCGUGCCAGCAGCCGCGGUAAUACGGGAGUGGCAAGCGUUAUCCGGAAUUAUUGGGCGUAAAGCGUCCGCAGGCGGUCUUGAAAGUCUGUUGUUAAAGCGUGGAGCUCAACUCCAUUUAAGCAAUGGAAACUAGAAGACUAGAGUGUGGUAGGGGCAGAGGGAAUUCCCGGUGUAGCGGUGAAAUGCGUAGAUAUCGGGAAGAACACCAGUGGCGAAGGCGCUCUGCUGGGCCAUAACUGACGCUCAUGGACGAAAGCCAGGGGAGCGAAAGGGAUUAGAUACCCCUGUAGUCCUGGCCGUAAACGAUGAACACUAGGUGUCGGGGGAAUCGACCCCCUCGGUGUCGUAGCCAACGCGUUAAGUGUUCCGCCUGGGGAGUACGCACGCAAGUGUGAAACUCAAAGGAAUUGACGGGGGCCCGCACAAGCGGUGGAGUAUGUGGUUUAAUUCGAUGCAACGCGAAGAACCUUACCAGGGUUUGACAUCCUGCGAAUCCCUUGGAAACUUGGGAGUGCCUUCGGGAGCGCAGUGACAGGUGGUGCAUGGCUGUCGUCGGCUCGUGUCGUGAGAUGUUGGGUUAAGUCCCGCAACGAGCGCAACCCACGUCUUUAGUUGCCAGCAUUGAGUUGGGCACUCUAGAGAGACUGCCGGUGAUAAACCGGAGGAAGGUGUGGAUGACGUCAAGUCAUCAUGCCCCUUACAUCCUGGGCUACACACGUACUACAAUGCUACGGACAAAGGGCAGCAAACUCGCGAGAGCUAGCAAAUCCCAUAAACCGUGGCUCAGUUCAGAUCGUAGGCUGCAACUCGCCUACGUGAAGGAGGAAUCGCUAGUAAUCGCAGGUCAGCAUACUGCGGUGAAUACGUUCCCGGGCCUUGUACACACCGCCCGUCACACCAUGGAAGUUGGCCAUGCCCGAAGUCGUUACUCCAACCCUUGUGGAGGAGGAUGCCGAAGGUGGGGCUGAUGACUGGGGUG